Molecule: ribosomal RNA, 120 nt
Filed under: uncultured bacterium
Lineage: Bacteria
Description: partial 16S ribosomal RNA
Rfam family: Bacterial small subunit ribosomal RNA
Source: RNAcentral
CACGCCGUAAACGAUGUCGACUAGCCGUUGGGAUCCUUGAGAUCUUAGUGGCGCAGCUAACGCGAUAAGUCGACCGCCUGGGGAGUACGGCCGCAAGGUUAAAACUCAAAUGAAUUGACG